GGAUGGGUGACAGAGUGGUCGAUUGUGCACGCCUGGAAAGCGUGUGUGCUGAAAGGCACCGAGGGUUCGAAUCCCUCCCCAUCCGCCA
This 88-nucleotide transfer RNA is filed under the name Verrucomicrobiota bacterium. Its description in RNAcentral is "tRNA-Ser". It matches the Rfam family "tRNA". Rfam says of the family: Transfer RNA (tRNA) molecules are approximately 80 nucleotides in length. Their secondary structure includes four short double-helical elements and three loops (D, anti-codon, and T loops). RNAcentral also lists the same sequence under 2 other names. Lineage: Bacteria; Pseudomonadati; Verrucomicrobiota. The record is from RNAcentral.